Molecule: ribosomal RNA, 429 nt
Filed under: Bacteroidota bacterium
Lineage: Bacteria; Pseudomonadati; Bacteroidota
Description: Bacteroidetes bacterium partial 16S ribosomal RNA
Rfam family: Bacterial small subunit ribosomal RNA
Source: RNAcentral
UAGGGAAUCUUCGGCAAUGGGGGGAACCCUGACCGAGCAACGCCGCGUGAGUGAAGAAGGUUUUCGGAUCGUAAAGCUCUGUUGUUAAGGAAGAACGAGUGUGAGAAUGGAAAGUUCAUACUGUGACGGUAGUUAACCAGAAAGGGACGGCUAACUACGUGCCAGCAGCCGCGGUAAUACGUAGGUCCCGAGCGUUGUCCGGAUUUAUUGGGCGUAAAGCGAGCGCAGGCGGUUAGAUAAGUCUGAAGUUAAAGGCAGUGGCUCAACCAUUGUAGGCUUUGGAAACUGUUUAACGUGAGUGCAGAAGGGGAGAGUGGAAUUCCAUGUGUAGCGGUGAAAUGCGUAGAUAUAUGGAGGAACACCGGUGGCGAAAGCGGCUCUCUGGUCUGUAACUGACGCUGAGGCUCGAAAGCGUGGGGAGCGAACAGG